CGGUCGCCGCGGGAAUACGUAGGUGGCAAGCGUUGUCCGGAAUUAUUGGGCGUAAAGGGCUCGCAGGCGGUUUCUUAAGUCUGAUGUGAAAGCCCCCGGCUCAACCGGGGAGGGUCAUUGGAAACUGGGAAACUUGAGUGCAGAAGAGGAGAGUGGAAUUCCACGUGUAGCGGUGAAAUGCGUAGAGAUGUGGAGGAACACCAGUGGCGAAGGCGACUCUCUGGUCUGUAACUGACGCUGAGGAGCGAAAGCGUGGGGAGCGAACAGGAUUAGAGACCCCCGUAGUCCCUGUCUCUUAUAC
RNAcentral lists this ribosomal RNA (301 nucleotides) under uncultured bacterium. RNAcentral's name for it is "partial 16S ribosomal RNA". It matches the Rfam family "Bacterial small subunit ribosomal RNA", at positions 509 to 807 of the family's 1533-position model. The record is from RNAcentral.